UAAGGAAUAUUGGUCAACGGACGCAAGUCUGAACCAGCCAUGCCGCGUGAAGGAUGAAGGUCCUCUGGAUUGUAAACUUCUUUUAUCUGGGACGAAAACGGGAUUUUUAUCUCAAUUGACGGUACCAGAGGAAUAAGCACCGGCUAACUCCGUGCCAGCAGCCGCGGUAACACGGAGGGUGCGAGCGUUAUCCGGAUUUACUGGGUUUAAAGGGUGCGUAGGUGGGCUUAUAAGUCAGUGGUGAAAUCUCCGAGCUUAACUUGGAAACUGCCGUUGAUACUAUAGGUCUUGAAUUAUCUGGAGGUAAGCGGAAUAUGUCAUGUAGCGGUGAAAUGCUUAGAUAUGACAUAGAACACCAAUUGCGAAGGCAGCUUACUACAUAUAAAUUGACGCUGAGGCACGAAAGCGUGGGGAUCAAGCA
Molecule: ribosomal RNA, 421 nt
Filed under: uncultured bacterium
Lineage: Bacteria
Description: bacterial SSU rRNA
Rfam family: Bacterial small subunit ribosomal RNA
Source: RNAcentral